RNAcentral lists this long non-coding RNA (438 nucleotides) under Homo sapiens (human). RNAcentral's name for it is "HSALNT0321217". The record is from RNAcentral. Lineage: Eukaryota; Metazoa; Chordata; Mammalia; Primates; Hominidae.
UUUACAUUAAGGAAGACUCCUGAUGUUGUACACUCUAUGGAUUCUACAAAUGUAUAAUGAGACAAUCAAACUUCAGAUAAUCAUGCAACAAGGUUUCCAGCCAGUUCCAGGUGUAGACACCACUCCCAGCCAUCAAGAAACUACUGUCAAGGCAAGGGUUCUGUGAUCCUCAAUAGGUACGAAUCCUGGAAGUGGAAAGGAAGGGGCAUGAAUUUCGGAAAUGGGGAAGAAGAAGAAACGACAGCAACUAGAUGUCAUAAUUUACAGCAGCAGAUGUGAAGCAAGUUUUUGGAUUAUGGCCAGUGGAAAGAAAGCAUGCCAGACAGCUAAUGGGAGGCAAGAGUAGUGUGACAUGUGGAUGGACUGGAGGGCAGGUGAUAGAUUAUGCAGGUCCUCAUAAAGCAUGUGUAGGAGUUUUAUAUUUAUGUAAAGACUGAU